AUAACCACAUAAUCAGUAGAAGCAUUUUAUUACAUUAGCACUGAUAUAUUCAACAACAGUCUUCAUGGCAAAAAUGUGUGUGUGUUUAGAAAUAGGAUGUAAUUUUGAAAUUCACAACAUUGAAUGAAUACAGCUGUAUACUAAUUUUAGUUAAUAUACACCCUAUAUUUCAUAAAAAUUUUAAAGGAUUUUUAACUUUAAAAAAAACCUCCUCCAUUUAAUUUGAGAAGAGAUUUUUUCAUACCAGAAAACUCAUUUUUAGUGGAAGUAACAGUGCAGUUACUUUGGUGCAAGUAACUGAUGAAUCGCCUAUGCUGAGACCAUAUCUGAUCAUUUCUGCUCAGAGUGGACUCUGUUAUGAUUAACUCUUUGCAAACUAAAUAUCCAUAUACAUUCACUACAAAGAUUUCACAGGUAGAGUGUACAUAUUAGUGUGAAGCAAGUUUCAAUCUCUUCCUCAGGGAUAACUCAAUUUCUAAUUCUGAAAGUAAAAGCCUGAGAAAGAUUGAGGUCAAUUGUCCAAACCAGAAAACAAUUAUUUAUCUCAGUCC
RNAcentral lists this long non-coding RNA (551 nucleotides) under Bos taurus (domestic cattle). RNAcentral's name for it is "long non-coding RNA NONBTAT006144". The record is from RNAcentral. Lineage: Eukaryota; Metazoa; Chordata; Mammalia; Artiodactyla; Bovidae.